CGCGUAGGUGGUAGUGCAAGUCUGGGGUGGAAUCUUAGGGCUUAACCCUAAAACUGCCUUGGAGACUGCAUUACUUGAGUCAGUGAGGGGAGGGUAGAAUUCCUGGUGUAGCGGUGAAAUGCGUAGAUAUCAGGAGGAAGGCCUGUGGCGAAGGCGGCCCUCUGGCGCUGAACUGACACUGAGGCGCGAAAGCGUGGGUAGCAAACAGGAUUAGAUACCCUGGUAGUCCACGCCCUAAACGGUGGGUACUAGGUGUAGGGCUCGUAAGGGUUCUGUGCCGAAGGGAAACCAUUAAGUACCCCGCCUGGGGAGUACGGCCGCAAGGUUGAA
This 330-nucleotide ribosomal RNA is filed under the name uncultured bacterium. RNAcentral's name for it is "bacterial SSU rRNA". It matches the Rfam family "Bacterial small subunit ribosomal RNA", at positions 568 to 898 of the family's 1533-position model. The record is from RNAcentral.